CCUACGGGAGGCAGCAGUGAGGAAUAUUGGUCAAUGGACGAGAGUCUGAACCAGCCAAGUAGCGUGAAGGAUGACUGCCCAUGGGUCGUAAACUUCUUUUAUAUGGGAAUAAAAUGUUCCACGUGUGGGAUUUUGUAUGUACCAUAUGAAUAAGGAUCGGCUAACUCCGUGCCAGCAGCCGCGGUAAUACGGAGGAUCCGAGCGUUAUCCGGAUUUAUUGGGUUUAAAGGGUGCGUAGGCGGUUUUUUAAGUUAGUGGUUAAACGUCGGGGCUUCACCUUGAUUUGCCAUUAAUACUGUAAGACU
This 305-nucleotide ribosomal RNA is filed under the name uncultured bacterium. Its description in RNAcentral is "bacterial SSU rRNA". It matches the Rfam family "Bacterial small subunit ribosomal RNA", at positions 338 to 642 of the family's 1533-position model. The record is from RNAcentral.